ACAAAAUAACACCUCCCAACUCUCUGAAACAUUAAAACAAAAAAAUUUAAAAAAAAAGCUCACUCAAACAGUGUCCAAAUUAGGUUUAUAUAUUUAUGGAAACCUCUUCAGCCUUCUCGCACUCGAAGAUAUAUAUUUUUCUCUUAGCAAAAACGUGGUUUAUGAACUAAGAUCAUGAAGACUACCUUAACACUUGUGGUGUUCGUUGCCUUUGUCUUGGUUUUUGCAUCUCUGCAAUCAAAUGCUAAACGGCUGACUUUGAAAGACAACCACCGUAAGCUCAGCGAUGAUCGGCGCCAAAGCGAAACAAAUGCUGUCCCAACGGCUGGCGUUGGCGCCAAAGAUGCCAAAGACGUUGUGGCCGAUCAAAGUGAUGAAGAUGAUGUGAACCCGACUUAUCAACACUAUGGAGGUACUGGUUCGAAUCCAGACUCAUCAACCGACAGUCACCGUUAUUAUUCUGUGGAUGACCGUACCGGUCACCAAGAUUCGAGCUCGAACGAUGGUGGACGGAAGCCCAAGCACUGAGAUUAACUACUUCCAAUCAAAGAAUAUGGAUCAGCUGGCUAGCUCAUGUAAUAAUAGAUAAAUUCGAUGUGGCUAUAUAUAGGUUGGUUUCAUAAAUAAUUAAGUAGAACUAGCGUUUGGCAAAUAUGUUAGCACCUGAGUUCGGUUUCACUAUUGCGCGCUUGUUUAAUCUAGUGUGAUGGGGUGUGGCUCCUUAGGCCUAGCAUGUGUUAUGCUUGUGUAAUAUAUAUAGCUUGCAAUAAGGUAAUCGAAACCAAUAGAAUGCAUGCAUGGCUAGUUUGGCA
This is a long non-coding RNA of Rosa chinensis, 812 nucleotides long. RefSeq lists it as uncharacterized. The transcript has 2 exons. NCBI's taxonomy places the organism in Eukaryota, Viridiplantae, Streptophyta, Magnoliopsida, Rosales, Rosaceae. The record is from RefSeq and is a predicted model, not a curated record.